UCAAACCAUUGGAGCUCAUUUUGCAUUUGUAUGGCAGGAAAAUUUUCUUUGACAGUUUCAACAGCAGCGAAAUGCAAGAUAGUGUUUUUUGUUUUUUCUUGAAAUCCAGACAACAACCAAGGUGGCAACAUUGGAUUGUUCCCUGAGGCCAUUGACUGUAUAAUCUCAACAAUCUUUUCCUGACCAUGCUGAAUUGCCACUUGAAGGACAUUCCUCCCCUCUGCGUCAAGGUAUGCUGCAGAUGCUGGACAUACUGUUAAGAUUUUCUGUACAAACUCAUGAAGGCCCAUUUUUGCGCCAAGAAUCAAAGGUGAUUCAUUCCAUCGACUUUUCUUAGGAUCCUUAAAGGACAUUAAAAUUUUCUUUACGAACUCCUGAAGGCUCAUUUUGCCAUCAAGAAUCAAAGGUGAUUCAUUCCAUCGAGUCUUCUUAGAAUCGUCAAUGCGAUCGAGGUUUGUUAAAACUUGCUUGAUAAUCUCACGAAGGCUCAUUUUUGCAUCAAGAAUCGAAGGUGAUGUAUCUUUAUGAGUUUGGCUCAUGUCUGGUGGAUUUCUUGGAAUUUCGCUGUCUUCUGGUGGAAUUCCAAAACUUUGGCCCAUGGAUGUUGGAACUCCAAAAAUUUCGCUUCCGCCAAAUGGAAUUCCUGAAUUUGUGCUGUUGUCUCCUGGUGGAAUUCUUCCCUUGUCAAUAAAAUCCCAGUAACGAGGAUCUUCAGCCAAAUAAGCAAUAAGAUUCAUAGCUUGUUUUUG
This 749-nucleotide long non-coding RNA is filed under the name Elaeis guineensis (African oil palm). Its description in RNAcentral is "long non-coding RNA (EGUI_LNC011232)". Lineage: Eukaryota; Viridiplantae; Streptophyta; Magnoliopsida; Arecales; Arecaceae. The record is from RNAcentral.